Molecule: small RNA, 21 nt
Filed under: Arabidopsis thaliana (thale cress)
Lineage: Eukaryota; Viridiplantae; Streptophyta; Magnoliopsida; Brassicales; Brassicaceae
Description: Ath_wt_03649
Source: RNAcentral
CCUGCCGAAUCAACUAGCCCC